This 555-nucleotide ribosomal RNA is filed under the name uncultured bacterium. RNAcentral's name for it is "partial 16S ribosomal RNA". It matches the Rfam family "Bacterial small subunit ribosomal RNA", at positions 355 to 926 of the family's 1533-position model. The record is from RNAcentral.
UGGGGAAUAUUGGACAAUGGGCGCAAGCCUGAUCCAGCCAUGCCGCGUGAGUGAUGAAGGCCUUAGGGUUGUAAAGCUCUUUCGCCGGUGAAGAUAAUGACGGUAACCGGAGAAGAAGCCCCGGCUAACUUCGUGCCAGCAGCCGCGGUAAUACGAAGGGGGCUAGCGUUGCUCGGAAUCACUGGGCGUAAAGCGCACGUAGGCGGAUCGUUAAGUCAGGGGUGAAAUCCUGGAGCUCAACUCCAGAACUGCCCUUGAUACUGGCGAUCUCGAGUUCGAGAGAGGUUGGUGGAACUCCGAGUGUAGAGGUGAAAUUCGUAGAUAUUCGGAAGAACACCAGUGGCGAAGGCGGCCAACUGGCUCGAUACUGACGCUGAGGUGCGAAAGCGUGGGGAGCAAAACAGGAUUAGAUACCCUGGUAGUCCACGCCGUAAAACGAUGGAUGCUAGCCGUUGGGGGGUUUACCUCUCAGUGGCGCAGCUAACGCCUUAAGCAUCCCGCCUGGGGAGUACGGUCGCAAGAUUAAAACUCAAAGGAAUUGACGGGGUCAUAGUG